This 456-nucleotide ribosomal RNA is filed under the name Oenococcus oeni. RNAcentral's name for it is "bacterial SSU rRNA". It matches the Rfam family "Bacterial small subunit ribosomal RNA", at positions 502 to 956 of the family's 1533-position model. The record is from RNAcentral. Lineage: Bacteria; Bacillati; Bacillota; Bacilli; Lactobacillales; Lactobacillaceae.
UACGUGCCAGCAGCCGCGGUAAUACGUAUGUCCCGAGCGUUAUCCGGAUUUAUUGGGCGUAAAGCGAGCGCAGACGGUUUAUUAAGUCUGAUGUGAAAUCCCGAGGCCCAACCUCGGAACUGCAUUGGAAACUGAUUUACUUGAGUGCGAUAGAGGCAAGUGGAACUCCAUGUGUAGCGGUGAAAUGCGUAGAUAUGUGGAAGAACACCAGUGGCGAAAGCGGCUUGCUAGAUCGUAACUGACGUUGAGGCUCGAAAGUAUGGGUAGCAAACGGGAUUAGAUACCCCGGUAGUCCAUACCGUAAACGAUGGGUGCUAGUUGUUAAGAGGUUUCCGCCUCCUAGUGACGUAGCAAACGCAUUAAGCACCCCGCCUGAGGAGUACGGCCGCAAGGCUAAAACUUAAAGGAAUUGACGGGGACCCGCACAAGCGGUGGAGCAUGUGGUUUAAUUCGAAG